UCCCUUUACUCAUCCCAAUACACUUUAAUCGCCAGAUCUGUUCCUAUUCUUUCUUAGAGAAAUCCUAAAACACAAACCCUCCAUUUGCUCUCUCUCUCUUGCGAUUCUAUACCUAGAAUAAUCUCAUCUCUGGAUCCACUUUCAAGUCGACCCCAAUCACCGAUUUCCUCUGGUUAUGCUAACAACGUUUAGGGAUUUGCAGAUCUUGAAAAGAGAAGAGAAAUAUAAAGAGAACGUUCCGGGCUAUGACUUCUGACGAGAUAAAGCAGGUCAUCACCUAAGUUCAGCACAUAAGCAGUUAUUUUUGCCCAUUUAGGGUUUGCUGUGUUAAGGGAUGGCCAAAGAUGGGAUUACAUCAUCAUCCCAGCAUCAGCAACUUUCUUUCUUUUCAAAACUGCAACAUACCAGGAGUAUAAUAAGACUAAACAUCCACAACUUUUGUAUGAAGCUAAGUUGUACAAUCUUCUUCAGGGAGGAAGUGGUAUACCUUCCAUAAAAUGGUCCGGUGUAGAUGGAGAGGAUAAUGUUUUAAUUAUUGAUUUUCUAGGACCGAGUCUUGAGGACCUGUUUGUGUAUUGUGGGAGGAACUUUCAAUUGAAAACAGUCUUGAUGUUGGCUGAUUAAAUGAUAACAAGAAUCGAGUAUGUUCAUUCUAAAGGGAUAUGAAGAAGAUCAGGAGGAUAAUGAAGAAGAGGAAGGAGGACUGAGCCAAUCUGGAAAAGAGUUGAGGAAGUUGCUCGGGAAAAAUAGUGGGGUCAAUGAAUCCGAGCCAGAGCAAGAGGAUGAUGACGAUGACGACGAUGAUAUUGAAGACGAAAGUUCCCCUGUUCUUGCACCAAAGGCUAAUAAUAACGGGGUCCAUCAAAGCGUAAUAACAACCCUCUUAAAGAGGAACCCGUCGACAAUAGCCCCUCAAAGCCAGCAGCUGCUACAACAUCAGCUCGGGGAACCCCAUCUUCAAAUAAGUCAGCUAAGGGAAAGCAAAAAAGCACCGAGAAAACAAACCGUCAAAUGGUGCCGCCACAGCUUCAAAGAAAGUCAAAACUGAAAAUUUUCGGGACGUGAAACAUGUAAAAGAGGAGCCUGCAAAGGCCGGUAAAGGUUCUUCUUCUAAACCAGCAGGUGCAUGUGCGUCAUAUGCUACCGGACCUGUCAAGGAAGCAGAAAUUACGGCGGUUCUGCUGCACAACGUACCUGUCAAGGAAGCAGAGACGGGUUAUUACCUGCAGUAUUCGCUAAAGUUCAUCCAAUGCAUCACACUCCAGUUUACUCUCAAAUCUGGGUUGGAAUUGUUGCAUUUAUUUUGGCUGGACUGUUAUUUUGUUGUAGAUGAAGAUGGAGUGGUGGUGAUACACGAACCAGGGAGACAAACAAAACUUUGUAGAUCUGAGUUUUUAGCUACAUUCAGAUCUGAGUUUUUUUCUUUUUCUUUUUUUUUUAAGAAUUUGAAGGAAACAAGCAAAACUAGAGAAGAUGACAAGCUAAGAUCUGAUAGAUGUGACACAUGUUUUUUGUGAGCUCGAAUUGAUUAUUCAUCGAUUGAAAGUAUUGACUACCACAUAUGGUAUGGUAAUAGACCUGUUUUUCAUCACUGAUGCCAGGUAGCCUGCAUUGUCAUCAUAUACUUGUAAUUACAAACAUGCAGCGGGAGUGGGUCAAAAGUUACAGGAUAUUUAUGGAAAUGAGGUGCCUUUGAGCUCUUACAUGGGGAAGGCUCUGUUGCCUUUGACCUUGUCCCUUGGACUCAAGACAUGAAUACGUUCAUCUACAGUUCAGAAUGACUCAUCCGGAUACAGGAUUACCUGCAGAUAUUAUCAAAGAAAUGGUCAAGGGUGCUACAAGCCAUUUACCAGAUAUCACACUUUGUCAUGGGUGCUACAAGCUGCCUUCAGUUAUUCAUUUAUUUUUAUUUCAUGUUUAUUCUGGCAUAUUUAUAAUACAUAUAUGAAGGCUAGAAAGGUAAUUUGAAACAGAAAGGAACUCAGAUUGAGUCAAUCGGAACUAGCCUUAUUUGAGUUUAAUUUUUUUAAAAAUAGGUUUUUAAUUACAACAAAUAUAAACUUUGAAAGUAGUUUUGGGAU
This is a long non-coding RNA of Helianthus annuus (common sunflower), 2081 nucleotides long. RefSeq lists it as uncharacterized. NCBI's taxonomy places the organism in Eukaryota, Viridiplantae, Streptophyta, Magnoliopsida, Asterales, Asteraceae. The transcript is spliced from 10 exons. The record is from RefSeq and is a predicted model, not a curated record.